AGGCACACAAGACACACAUGCCAGUUCCUCCUCCAUUAUCAAUGCGCAUUGUGUCCCACAUAAGCCCCUUUAAGGCAUUUCACAGAUUGUCUUUCAGUUAAAGGAGCGUACAAAUUGUGAUGGCAUUCGGAACUCGGUUUAUCGAGUAAUCCCUUUUGUAUGACAAUUUUCGGAGAAGAAUCUUCAAUGAAAGGUGCAAAUUCAAGG
Molecule: long non-coding RNA, 207 nt
Filed under: Drosophila guanche
Lineage: Eukaryota; Metazoa; Arthropoda; Insecta; Diptera; Drosophilidae
Source: RNAcentral